GUCACCAAUAUCUGCAUUACAAAGUUUGAAACUUAAUCCUCUUCUUCAACAUUACCUUACAUCCCUGACACGGGUGGAAGGCCUCCUGUUUCAACUUUGUGGGAGAAGAGCAAACCAAACUUUUAGGCCACUUUUAAGCCAUUUUUGAACUAAUGAAUGAUCCAAAUGAAAAGCACAGCUAUUUAGAAGCAGAUCUCAGAGAUCCCUCACACAGAUAGGCUCGAGAAACUACAAGCAACCAAGUUACUUUCUCCAGGGAACUUUCCCAUCUAUUAGUCACUUGCACAUCUUAGAAGAGAGAUUAGUCAAACAGAGAGGCUCCAUGCCACACGGAGUGAAUCACUGCCGGUUCUGCGAAGUCUCUGAGGGGUACUGACAAGUAAUCCACUCCUCUGUUUCCAAAGAAGGAUUUAUUUACGCAUGAGUUCAAGAGUGAGGGAAGAUAACUUCAUAUCAAACUGAGACUUCAAUGAGAUAAUUAGCAGGUACCCAAAGACCUCUGUUGAUGGAGGGUGUGGUGGCAGCUACUUUCUACCAUACCAGCUCUGUGAUCUCUCCAACCUAGGAUUGUUUUGUUUCUGUCCUACCACUUAGCAGAGAGACUUCUGUACUAAGUAUCCCUGUCCUGUAACUUCUCUCUUAAUCUGACCCACAGCUCCAAGAGACCAUGAGGGUUUAAAUCAGACUUCAGUGUGUUUAUUCCCUUUGCCUGAUUGUGGUUAAGCUAAGAGUUUGACAGUAGAAAUAUAAUAGGAACAGGAAAGAGAUAAUCAUACCCAAAUCACAGGGUACAAAGCCUACCCAGCAGCUAUAAUGCUUGUGCACAGUGCUGUUUUGGAUCUCAAAGCUACGCGCCUAGAAAGAGCACAAUUAUUUACAAAAUUUACCCUAAAGUACAGCUGGGUGUUCAGAUUUUUGAAAUUUAUUAGAAAAUGUAUUUCAGUGGAGCAAAUUGAAAUCUAUUGAGUAUAGAAUAAUGGCUAAACCUAACAUUCAGGAUUCAUGGACCCAACAAAUAUUGGUUGUUCUGGUUGUACCUGACUCUAUCUAGUUGCUAAGGAAAGAGAUGAACAGAGAGAUAGUCCUUGCUCUUGACAAGCUUAUGAAUGGGAAGAGGAGACGUAAACAAAAUGAACCAAUAAUCUGAUGCCACAUGACCUGUGAGAAGGAUUCAGAACAGCAUAACGGAGAGAGCUUUUAAUCCUCGUGGUGCCACGUGUAGUAAAGAGAGGGCCCUGCAGAAACUGACAGCUGAGCAGUCACUGGGCAUCCUUUGGAGAAGGAAAUGGAGGAGGAGAGGGACAGGGCUUUCUUGGUAGCAAAGAUAACAAUAGGUGCGAAGUAAUGGAAGCAUGAAAUAGUAUCUUGUCCUCUAAAUCUCAAGUUGGUGCUACUAGGAGUUUCAUAGUGAAGCAACAGGAGUCAAAGAGAUGGCUGAAGUGUUAUAUCAUUCCAAGUUUUAACUCCACAAGUCCUUACUGGGAAGAUAUGGGCCUCCGUCUUUUAAAUUAAGGCUCCCUCUUUGUAAUUCAGUUCCAUGAUCCCAAUGGUCACGACACAUUCCAAAAUUCUCUCAAGCAAAACCUGCUGCAGAAGAUGAAAUAGGAGAUUUAUCAGCCUAAAAACAAACCAAAAAAGAGUCUCUGUGGCUUUUUGUAGACAUUACAUUAGAUGGAGCAAGGCUGGCAUUACAGCCAGCAAGGAAAAUUACAAGCAAUUUAUACAUGCCUCCAACUCAUCGUCUCAAUGUGUCCUGAAGAAUUCAUCAAGCUUCAGAGAAUCACAGACUCAUCCAAGGUGAGGUCAUCAUGUUGAUGUUGGCUGGCUUAGAGAGCAGGUUUUGUCAGCCGUAUAUCAGAGAAAGGGCCCAGAACGGUAAGAGGCAGGCUCCAAGCUAACCAUGGGCUGAGCUGGUUUCAAUGGCUCUUCCAUCAUCACUUAUAGGAGAGUUAUUUUUACAGGAGAACGUCACUAGCAAAACAUAAGCUGGCUUUCACUUUAAAGGAAAGAUGCCAGCCUCUAAGCUCAUUCUUUAAUUGCCUUCUACGUAAGAGAAGAGGUUGUUAGUAUAGCGAACAAGCCAGAACAGGGAUGCGGAAGCCAACUGUUCUGGACUCCAACGAUGCGAAGUUCACUGGGAGGUGUGGUCUGCAGCCAACCACGGGAUGCAGGAGAUUGGAGAAGAGCUCUCCUUCCAUUCAGUCCCACGGCAGAGUACGCAGCCUCCUUGCCUUUGCGAAACAACCACUGGAGACUUCUCAGAGAGAUGCUACCAAGACGCUUCAGCCUGGAACACAAGGAUGGGGGGUCUCACUAUGUUGCCCAGGCUGGACUUGAA
Microcebus murinus (gray mouse lemur) is the source of this 2338-nucleotide non-coding RNA. NCBI's taxonomy places the organism in Eukaryota, Metazoa, Chordata, Mammalia, Primates, Cheirogaleidae. The record is from RefSeq and is a predicted model, not a curated record.